GUAUAUUAUAAUAGGUUUAAAUAUAAUUUUCACGAAAUUGUUUGAGCUAAAAUUUUAUAUAUAUAGUAUAAAUAUUAAUUGUGGCAAUAAUUAAUUAAAUGAUAUUUUAGGGGUGAAAGGCUAAUCAAAUUCACAUAUAACUUGAUUGUUAGGAAAUAUAUCUAGUAUAGAAAACAAGGCAAAAAUAAUAAGGUUUUUGCAAGGUAUUAAUAAUUAUGUCUCUAAAAUUAUUUGAAUAAUUUCUAUAAAGUUAGGCAUAAUAAUAUUUAAUUAAGGGAGAUUAUACUUCUUACUAACCACUGUUUUAUACUUCUUCAAAAUAUUUAUAAUGUAUAUAUUAGUAUUAUAUUAAAUAUAUUAUAAGGAACUCGGCAAAAAAAAAAUUCUCGACUGUUUAUCAAAAACAUAGCCCCAAGUUAUUAUUUGGGGUUAUCCCUGCUCAAUGGAAAACUAAAUAGCCGCAGUACCUUGACUGUGCAAAGGUAGCAUAAUCAGUUGGCUUAUAAUUGAAGUCUGGCAUGAAAGGGAACACGGGAAUGAGCUGUCUUAUUAAUUUUUUUUGGAAUUUACUUAGUAAGUGAAAAUUCUUACCAAAAGAAAAUAGACGAGAAGACCCUAGAAAUUUUUUACAAUACAAUAUUUACUAUUUUGUUGGGGCGACAAGGUAACAUUAGAACUUACCUAUUAUAUUUGAAUAUAUUUAUAUGAAUAACUAAAUUACUCUAGGGAUAACAGCAUUAUUUAUUAUAAAGUUUGUGACCUCGAUGUUGGACUAGGACAUAUUUUACCUAGAAAGUAUAAUAUAUGGCUCUGUUCGAGCUUUACCUCCUACAUGAUCUGAGUUCAGACCGG
This 852-nucleotide ribosomal RNA is filed under the name Urticicola umbrosus. RNAcentral's name for it is "partial 16S ribosomal RNA". Lineage: Eukaryota; Metazoa; Mollusca; Gastropoda; Stylommatophora; Hygromiidae. The record is from RNAcentral.